This 285-nucleotide long non-coding RNA is filed under the name Amborella trichopoda. RNAcentral's name for it is "long non-coding RNA (ATRI_LNC005208)". Lineage: Eukaryota; Viridiplantae; Streptophyta; Magnoliopsida; Amborellales; Amborellaceae. The record is from RNAcentral.
CCAAGCUCUCUGCCAAAGUGAAUUGGAUCAUGGGAGUAAAUUAAAAUGUAUUUGAUCUCCUCGAUUGAGAAAUAUAAUGAGCUAACUGAAGGUGAUGACGAUGGCGAUAUGACUGAUAUAUAGCUAGAUUGAGUUAUGUGAUUGGAGAUUUAGAGAUAUAGAUACAUGUCCCUACAAAAUUGGUCAUUCUGUUAGUUCUAUACUUAAAAAUUUAGCAAUACUAUUGUGAAUGUAUACUCAAAAUUAAAGCUCAAGACUAAAAAAAUGUCCAUAUACACUCAAAAU